Molecule: ribosomal RNA, 675 nt
Filed under: uncultured fungus
Lineage: Eukaryota; Fungi
Description: eukaryotic LSU rRNA
Rfam family: Eukaryotic large subunit ribosomal RNA
Source: RNAcentral
GCGGGAUUUCCCCUUCUAUGACGUUCGGAUUCCAGCGACUGCGCAUUCGCGCUUACCCGCUGAACUUAAAGCAUAUCAAUAAGCGGAGGAAAAGAAACCAACAGGGAUUGCCUCAGUAACGGCGAGUGAAGCGGCAACAGCUCAAAUUUGAAAUCUGCCUCUAGGCCGAGUUGUAAUUUGUAGAAGAUGCUUCGGGUGUGGCACUGGUCUAAGUUCCUUGGAACAGGACGUCAUAGAGGGUGAGAAUCCCGUAUGUGACUGGCUGCCUUCGCCCAUGUGAAGCUCUUUCGACGAGUCGAGUUGUUUGGGAAUGCAGCUCAAAAUGGGUGGUAUAUUUCAUCUAAAGCUAAAUAUUGGCCAGAGACCGAUAGCGCACAAGUAGAGUGAUCGAAAGAUGAAAAGCACUUUGGAAAGAGAGUUAAACAGUACGUGAAAUUGUUGAAAGGGAAGCGCUUGCAAUCAGACUUGCGCGCCGUCGAUCAUCCGAGGUUUUCCCCGGUGCACUCGGCGGUGCUCAGGCCAGCAUCGGUUUCGGUGGUUAGAUAAAGGCCUUGGGAAUGUGGCUCCUCCGGGAGUGUUAUAGCCCUCGGUGCAAUGUAGCCUACUGGGACCGAGGACCGCGCUUCGGCUAGGAUGCUGGCGUAAUGGUUGUAAGCGACCCGUCUUGAAACACGG